ACAAUUCCUCAGUGGUCCUUCCUACUGCCUCAUAGUUCCAAGUUGAUUUGGAAAAAUGACUGGUUCUAUGUAUGCAUAAUGUCUGAAUUACAUCUUCUGUAAAGGAUAUCAGCAGUAGCCGGUCUCUGAUUUGGCACUGGUUCUUUCCCAUAUAUUUAGAACAACAUUGUAUCUGCUGUUUUAUAUUUAAUGGUUAAAAUUCUUUAUAAAUAUCUUUUAAUCUUACUAUUUCAUAAAAGAUCUAGACCAAAUGAAUCAUGAACCAAUGCUCAUAAUGUUCAGAUUGAUGUUUGUAGCUUGUUACAUUAGACAAACAAAUAUGUAUUCUUUUCACUUGAGAACUAACUACUGGGUUAUAGAAGUUUGUAACUAAUAAGCAAUUCACCAUAAACUUUGAUCUCUUUUCUGUAUUGAAGCAAACAUUCUUAUGAGAAUAUGGGUUUAGUGACAGAGUAAGCCACCUACAAGCUAAUUAUACACACAUAUGUCCUUAGAUUUUGAAUUCCUUUUAGGGCAUGGACCACUCAUAUUCAUCCUGGUGCCUAACACAAAGUUGGCCUUCAUUAAAUAGAUAAAUAAUUGAAGGCCUCAAUGAAAAAUAAUUUAAGGAUUUAUAUUCAUAACUCCUUUUAAGUUCUGGUAAACGUUUUCCAAAUUAUACAUCUUACCUUCCACAGGAAACCAUGUCUUAAUGGAAGGAACAGUGGACUUGCACUCAGGAGACAGGGGAUUGAAGAAAGAACUAAUCAGACAGACCAUAGUUGGAUUACUGUCUCUACCGUUUGUGACUGAUUGUGAACUUGGACACAUGACGUAAUCUGUAUGCCUCAGUCCCUUCUCCUUAGUGCAGUUGUAUCAUUGAUGCUGUGCUUCUUUCUGAGGACCAUCAACUAUGUUUCAGUUCAUCCCCCAUAUCUAAUGGAAGACCUUCAACAUGAAAGAUGGCACCCCUGUAAUAUGGCAGGGAGACCUCUGAGCUUUUAAGGUAAUGAUGAGCUUCUAUGAAAUGG
This 1010-nucleotide long non-coding RNA is filed under the name Callithrix jacchus (white-tufted-ear marmoset). RNAcentral describes it as "lncRNA (ENSCJAG00000080661.1)". The record is from RNAcentral. Lineage: Eukaryota; Metazoa; Chordata; Mammalia; Primates; Cebidae.